GAAUUUAAUAUAAUAUUUAAUAUUUUAAGAUAGUUAUUAUUAUAUAUUAUAUUUUAUUGGGAGGAUAGUUAAAUUUAUUAAACUUUAAAUUGUAUAAAAACAUAAAUUAUUGAAUAAAAGAAUAAUUUUUUAAGUUUUAUUUAUUAAAUUAUUGAAAAAUUAAUUACCUUAGGGAUAACAGCGUAAUAUUUUUAGAAAGAUCAUAUUAAUAUAAAUGAUUGC
Molecule: ribosomal RNA, 222 nt
Filed under: Brachymyrmex sp. SL13.01
Lineage: Eukaryota; Metazoa; Arthropoda; Insecta; Hymenoptera; Formicidae
Description: partial large subunit ribosomal RNA
Source: RNAcentral